Molecule: long non-coding RNA, 1903 nt
Organism: Bactrocera dorsalis (oriental fruit fly)
Lineage: Eukaryota; Metazoa; Arthropoda; Insecta; Diptera; Tephritidae
Exons: 3
Source: RefSeq, a predicted model, not a curated record
UAUUUAAAAACAAUUAAAAUGCUUACUUCUGUCUUAGACGGAAUAUGCAUAUUAACAUAAAUUAGUGAAAUUAAAAAAUAGAGUUCGGUCAUGUUCAGUGAGGGAAAUAAACAGGAAGAGGACGGUUUUUUUGUACGAUUCCUAGAAAUGAAGAGGAUUGACCACAUAUAUUUUUUUUAUUUAUAGUACACGCGAUUGAAAUAAAAGGCAUCUUUUUUUGUCGUAAAAACAUUUCUUUUUUCAGUAUUUUCGACUGAACUUUGUAUAAAACAUUCGUCGUCCUACAUCUUCAAAUUCAAAAUGAUGUAUCUGUUGACAAAAAGCGAAAACAGCUGAUUCCGUACGGAAGAUGCGACCAGUUUCGCAUUUUCCUUAAGCAAAUGACGUUUGAAAAAACUUGACGAAACUUGAUGUAAAGCACAUUAUAACGGGUGAUUUUUUUGAGGUUAGGAUUUUCCUAAUGCAUGAUCACGUGGGAUUUCAGACAUGGUGUCAAAGAGAAAGAUGCUCAGUAUGCUUUGACAUUUCAUCAUGAAUAGACUUACUAACGAGCAACGCUUGCAAAUCAUUGAAUUUUAUUACCAAAAUCAGUGUUCGGUUCGAAAUGUGUUUAUCGACAAAUUUUAUUCAGCGAUGAGGCUCAUUUCUGGUUGAAUGGCUACGUAAAUAAGCAAAAUUGCCGCAUUUGGGGUGAAGAGCAACCAGAAGCCGUUCAAGAACUGCCCAUGCAUCCCGAAAAAUGCACUGUUUGGUGUGGUUUGUACGCUGGUGGAAUCAUUGGACCGUAUUUUUUCAAAGAUGCUGUUGGACGCAACGUUACGGUGAAUGGCGAUCGCUAUCGUUCGAUGCUAACAAACUUUUUGUUGCCAAAAAUGGAAGAACUGAACUUGGUUGACAUGUGGUUUCAACAAGAUGGCGCUACAUGCCACACAGCUCGCGAUUCUAUGGCCAUUUUGAGGGAAAACUUCGGACAACAAUUCAUCUCAAGAAAUGGACCCGUAAGUUGGCCACCAAGAUCAUGCGAUUUAACGCCUUUAGACUAUUUUUUGUGGGGCUACGUCAAGUCUAAAGUCUACAGAAAUAAGCCAGCAACUAUUCCAGCUUUGGAAGACAACAUUUCCGAAGAAAUUCGGGCUAUUCCGGCCGAAAUGCUCGAAAAAGUUGCCCAAAAUUGGACUUUCCGAAUGGACCACCUAAGACGCAGCCGCGGUCAACAUUUAAAUGAAAUUAUCUUCAAAAAGUAAAUGUCAUGAACCAAUCUAACGUUUCAAAUAAAGAACCGAUGAGAUUUUGCAAAUUUUAUGCGUUUUUUUUUUUUUAAAAAUUAUCAAGCUCUUAAAAAAUCACCCUUUAUGUUCAUCUUCAGGUGAAGAACUGAUGAAGACAGUUAGUGCUAUGAAGUUUUACACAUAUACAUAGGUUGAUGAUUCGUGCUAUUGAAGACAACAACAUUCUUCGAUGCAGACAACUAUUUCAUCAGUACGUUGUGAAUAUAUGCAACAAAUGGCAUCAACAACAUCGGACCAGAUCUUUUUAUCCCAUUGGUGUGUAAUCCAAACUGGAAUGAAAUUUGCUGUUGUCAGGUCAAACAUCGAUACAUCGCCAAAAAAUCCGUGUUUUGUUCACGGUCAAUUAUAUGUUGCAUGUUCCAGAGUUGAAAAACCAUCGAAUUUGUUUCUUUAUACGCCUCAAGGAUUAAGCAAAAAUAUUGUACAUUCAAUGGCAUUACGAUAAACUAACUUUAUGUAAAUUAAAAUAUAUAUAUAUGUUACGAAGUAAAAUAGCUUGAUUGUAAUUAAAACGACUUAAAUUUUUACUAAAUACAGCUUCUAGAUUUAAUUUCACUAAUAGAGUAUACACAUACUCACAGGCUAUGGGUUGGUUGAAUUGUGAUGUAUGUAUG